AAUUGAAUAGAAGCGCUUACUAAAUGGAAGUCCGGUGAGAAUCCGGCACGGUCCCGCCACUGUGAUUAGUGUUUAGUACUAUAAGCCAGGUCUUUUUAGUAGGAUGCUUGGGCGGGUACGCUAUCUCGUGGAGUAGGUAGGGUAUCCAUA
This 150-nucleotide small RNA is filed under the name Furfurilactobacillus rossiae. The record is from RNAcentral. Lineage: Bacteria; Bacillati; Bacillota; Bacilli; Lactobacillales; Lactobacillaceae. RNAcentral also lists the same sequence under 1 other name.